CCUACGGGAGGCAGCAGUGGGGAAUAUUGCACAAUGGGGGAAACCCUGAUGCAGCGACGCCGCGUGAGUGAAGAAGGAAUGCGUUAUGUAAAGCUCUAUCAGCAGGGAAGAAAAGGACGGUACCUGAGUAAGAAGCCCCGGCUAACUACGUGCCAGCAGCCGCGGUAAUACGUAGGGGGCAAGCGUUAUCCGGAUUUACGGGGUGUAAAGGGAGCGUAGACGGCCGUGCAAGUCUGGAGUGAAAGGCGGGGGCUCAACCCCCGGACUGCUCUGGAAACGGUACGGCUGGAGUGCAGGAGCGGUAAGUGGCCUUCCUCGUGUAGCGGUGACAUGCGUAGAUAUUAGGAGGAACACCAGUGGCGCAGGCGGCUUACUGGACUGUAACUGCCGUUGCGGCUCGACCGCGUGGGGAGCAACCAGGAUUAGAUACCCGUGUCGUC
RNAcentral lists this ribosomal RNA (440 nucleotides) under uncultured bacterium. RNAcentral describes it as "partial 16S ribosomal RNA". It matches the Rfam family "Bacterial small subunit ribosomal RNA", at positions 338 to 795 of the family's 1533-position model. The record is from RNAcentral.